RNAcentral lists this ribosomal RNA (253 nucleotides) under uncultured bacterium. RNAcentral describes it as "partial 16S ribosomal RNA". It matches the Rfam family "Bacterial small subunit ribosomal RNA", at positions 524 to 776 of the family's 1533-position model. The record is from RNAcentral.
UACGUAGGGUGCAAGCGUUAUCCGGAUUUAUUGGGUUUAAAGGGUGCGUAGGCGGAUAAAUAAGUCAGUGGUGGAAGCCUGCAGCUUAACUGUAGAAUUGCCAUUGAUACUGUUUAUCUUGAAUGUAGUUGAGGUGGGCGGAAUAUGACAUGUAGUGGUGAAAUACUUAGAUAUGUCAUAGGACACCGAUUGCGAAGGCAGCUCACUAAGCUAUAAUUGACGCUGAGGCACGAAAGCGUGGGGAGCAAACAGG